AAAAAAUAGAAUCGAAAUCUCGGUUCUUUAUUUUUAAAGAAAUAAAAUUGGAAAUAAAUUUUGAGUUUUAUUGUAAAUAAUUUUUGUAGGAUUUUGAUUCUAAUUUCGAUUUUAUUUUUAGUGUUAAUUUUAAUUUAAAUUUUAGCUUGAAUCUCUAUUUCUCUCCUUAAAAUUAUAAUCUUUUUGUUUUUCAUCUUAAAAAAUAAGAUAAAUCUGAAUUUUUAAUAUCAAAAUAAUAAUAUUAAAGGGGGGAAAUUACAAUCUAGUAUGUUGUUUGGUGCAUUUGUACGGUACGAGGAACUUGUUGUGACAAAAACGUACCUUUGUGUCAUUAAUACUGGUAGGGUAAUCCUUAUGUUUUAGUAAAAUUACAUAUUACAUAUUGGUCUUUCUAUAUUUUUUUACUUCAAAUUACAUAAAUUUUCUUAUUAAAUUCUUUUACUUCAAAUACAUAAUAUACCUAUAAAAUAAAAUGAUCAUAUUAUGAUUAAAAUAAUGAAUAUUAUAAAAUGUAGGACUAUUUUAUAAUAA
Molecule: unclassified non-coding RNA, 531 nt
Filed under: Hevea brasiliensis (rubber tree)
Lineage: Eukaryota; Viridiplantae; Streptophyta; Magnoliopsida; Malpighiales; Euphorbiaceae
Source: RNAcentral